RNAcentral lists this ribosomal RNA (380 nucleotides) under uncultured bacterium. RNAcentral describes it as "bacterial SSU rRNA". It matches the Rfam family "Bacterial small subunit ribosomal RNA", at positions 28 to 408 of the family's 1533-position model. The record is from RNAcentral.
GACGAACGCUGGCGGCGUGCUUAACACAUGCAAGUCGAGCGGUAAGGCCCUUUCGGGGGUACACGAGCGGCGAACGGGUGAGUAACACGUGGGUGACCUGCCCUUAGCUCUGGGAUAAGCCUGGGAAACUGGGUCUAAUACCGGAUAUGACUCCAUGACGCAUGUUGUGGGGUGGAAAGCCUUGUGCGGCUAGGGAUGGGCCCGCGGCCUAUCAGCUUGUUGGUGGGGUGAUGGCCUACCAAGGCGACGACGGGUAGCCGGCCUGAGAGGGCGACCGGCCACACUGGGACUGAGACACGGCCCAGACUCCUACGGGAGGCAGCAGUGGGGAAUCUUGCGCAAUGGGCGAAAAGCCUGACGCAGCGACGCCGCGUGAGGGA